This 522-nucleotide ribosomal RNA is filed under the name uncultured bacterium. RNAcentral's name for it is "bacterial SSU rRNA". It matches the Rfam family "Bacterial small subunit ribosomal RNA", at positions 777 to 1297 of the family's 1533-position model. The record is from RNAcentral.
AAUAGAUACCCGGGUAGUCCACGCCGUAAACGAUGAGUGCUAAGUGUUAGAGGGUUUCCGCCCUUUAGUGCUGCAGCUAACGCAUUAAGCACUUCGCCUGGGGAGUACGGUCGCAAGACUGAAACUCAAAGGAAUUGACGGGGGCCCGCACAAGCGGUGGAGCAUAUGGUUUAAUUCGAAGCAACGCGAAGAACCUUACCAGGUCUUGACAUCCUCUGACAACUCUAGAGAUAGAGCGUUCCCCUUCGGGGGACAGAGUGACAGGUGGUGCAUGGUUGUCGUCAGCUCGUGUCGUGAGAUGUUGGGUUAAGUCCCGCAACGAGCGCAACCCUUGAUCUUAGUUGCCAGCAUUUAGUUGGGCACUCUAAGGUGACUGCCGGUGACAAACCGGAGGAAGGUGGGGAUGACGUCAAAUCAUCAUGCCCCUUAUGACCUGGGCUACACACGUGCUACAAUGGAUGGUACAAAGGGCUGCAAGACCGCGAGGUCAAGCCAAUCCCAUAAAACCAUUCUCAGUUCGGA